This is a non-coding RNA of Octodon degus (degu), 417 nucleotides long. The record is from the annotation of a RefSeq genome assembly. NCBI's taxonomy places the organism in Eukaryota, Metazoa, Chordata, Mammalia, Rodentia, Octodontidae.
AUGUCUCUGUUGGCAGAUGUCCGGUGUGAGCUGCAGCAGGUGGAGUCUGACGGAUGCUUUCUGAAGCCGGGAGGGUCACUGACACUGCCUUGUCCAGCCUUGGGAAAAACUUCAACAAUUAUUCAUGCAACAAAUCUCCCAGGCUCCAGAGAAGAGGCUGUAGUUGGUCUCAACAUCUGUGGAGAUAGUAGUGACAUAAAGUAUGAGGACGCCAUGAAGGGAUGGCUCACCACUUAUAAGGAGAAUGCAAAGAACACACUGCAUCUGCGAAUGAACAGCCAGAGAACCAAGGACACAGCCACGUAUUACUGUGCAAUAAUAGUAGUAAAUAUGAGUCCUGACACAAACCUCCCUGCAGAGGUGUUCUUGACCACCAGAUGGCGCGCUGAUCCAUGGAGAACCAGGCAGGGCCACUGA